Molecule: RNA transcript, 2213 nt
Organism: Vicia villosa (hairy vetch)
Lineage: Eukaryota; Viridiplantae; Streptophyta; Magnoliopsida; Fabales; Fabaceae
Gene name: putative cyclin-A3-1
Exons: 8
Source: RefSeq, a predicted model, not a curated record
AAAACUAAAAUUUCAUUGAAAAAAACCCACCACAAACCUCCCAAUUUCAAACCAAAAUUAAACACUCAAACACUCAAAUUUUCGAAAAUCACCAAAUAGCGCCAUGGGUUUUCAUUUUGGCGAAAACAUUUUCAAAACCCCUCUUUCCUAUAUCGACACAAUCUCCCUUUUCCCGUUUCUUCAUCCCCAUUUCACAAACCCUAAUCUUGCUCCUCUUUCUUCAUCUUCGUUUCCAUCUUCGUUUCCAUCUUCGUUUCCACUUUUCCAUUCUAUCGAAGAUGCCGACUCGCAGUUCAAGAAAGAGUGCUAUCGCUGAACCAAUUGUUCUCAACCCUAAAAAGCAUAGAGUUGUGCUGGGGGAUCUUCCCAAUCUACAGAAUGCAUCUAUUUCUGAAACUCAAUCCAGUGGAAAUCUGCAGCAACAUAUGUUUACUCGUUUGAUAAUUUUGAUUUGGAUAAACCGGUUCAGAGAAAGUACAACGCAAAACAUGAAAUCCAACAGAUUAUUGAACCGUAUGGAGAUGGAGAAAAAGCUAAGACUUAUGGUUGGAUACAUUGAGAAUGGUCAGAGAUUCAUUACAACAAACACGAGUGGAAUAUUGGUGGAUUGGUUAGUCAAAGUUUUGUUUAUUAAUGUUACUUAUGGUGUUUCUGCCACAUUACUGAUAACACCUAUGAGUUGAAAGAGGAUAUUAAGAUGGAAGCUGAAAUACUCUAGUCACUAAACUUUGAAAUACAAACCAUGCAUCGAUACAUAUUCAAACACAAAUUAAAAUACUUGUCUUUCUAAUUUCACCAAAAAACCAUGCAUCUCUAACUCCUACUAUUGAAUACAACACAAUAGCUGGACACAUUAGGGAGUUGGCUUUCCUUAACCCAAAGCCUAAAAUUGUGUUUCGGAAAGAAGACAAUGAUCUAGAGAAGGUCCAAUAUAAUGAGUAUUUCUAUGCCGGGGGAUUGGGUGAAUAUGUGAAAUGGCUUAACACGGAUAAGAAAGCUGUUCAUGAUGUUCUGAGUUUCAGAAAAGAAAUAAAUGGAAUCGCAGUUGAUGUAGCUUUGCAAUGAAAGUUUUAUAGUUGAAGGUGAUUCAGCUGGGGGAAGUGCUAAGCAAGGUCGUGACAAGCGCUUCCAGGAUGCAAUUGAAAUAAACUUCACGUGUUGCUGUUAGACAUUAAACUGAAGCUAAAAAAUUAGCUGACCUCUGGUAUGCUGGAAUGCAAAAUGGGUGUUGCUGUUAGACAUUAAACUGAAGCUCAAAAAUUGAGUUGAUCAAUAUUUUCCUAACUUUGCCAAUUGUGAGCUUUGCUCCAUGGCCAUUGUGGAUACAAGGUGAAUUUGUAAAAUGGAUUUUGAGCCGUGGAGGUUGAGAUUGAGGGAUUCUUUCGAUUAAAGGACCAAAGAGAAUGGUGUUAAUGUUGAGGGAUUUGUUCUAGCUUUCGUCAUUCCGCUUGUUGAGAUUCUUCGUCGCUCUUCUUCCAAUCUCAAACAUUACCAGAUUGUUAUCAUAACUCAGUUACCUAAGCUUUGAAGGACUGGCUUAUUCUCUGCUACUCAAACUCUGGCUGUGGAAGAGCUUUCCAAAGUAAGAUUGAGGAAUCAUGUGACUUAGAAUGUGAGGCUGAUAAGAAGCUGUUGCAGGUAGUAGAUUUACAACAUCGUUGCAGUCGCUGGACACCUCGUAGUCUCCCAUGAUGCUCUACCAUUCUUUUUUGUAUCACAUGCACAAUAUAUUCUCUUGUUUCCACUACCAUACUUAGGAACAGUAGCUUGAUUCAGUGGGUUUCUCAAUUUUUUUGUAGGUAAGAGUCCAGAACGAAAAGAAAAAGGAGAAGGGAGAGAUGAAUAACACAGUAGUGACAACUGAAAAAGAAAGAAACUUGGAUGCUAUAUAGAAGCAUGUGGAUGUGCUAAUGGGAGCCAAUCAAAAUGAUCACACAUACUCCUUUCCUUGGAUUAUAUUUGAACCAAGCUGCAACUCAUGAAUUUAUAACUGCUUUGCAACAUGCUAUACAUUUCAGACAUUGCUAAACGGGACAAAGCAGUCCCGGUUUCAUUAGAUUGAAUGGUAAUCCAAAGAUCAUAAAUAAAUAAGACUAGUUUUAGUUAAGAUUAUACUCUUGUAGGUUUUCUCUGUUAUUACUUUUUCCAUAUUAAAUGUGACAGCAAAUGCAAUACAUAGUUUAUUUAAAAGGUACAUGCAAUACAUAUAUUAG